This 448-nucleotide ribosomal RNA is filed under the name uncultured bacterium. RNAcentral's name for it is "SSU rRNA". It matches the Rfam family "Bacterial small subunit ribosomal RNA", at positions 26 to 518 of the family's 1533-position model. The record is from RNAcentral.
AGAGCGAACGCUGGCGGCAGGCCUAACACAUGCAAGUCGAGCGCCCGUAGCAAUACGGGAGCGGCAGACGGGAUAGUAACACGUGGGAACGCGCCCUUCGGUUCGGAAUAACUCAGGGAAACUUGAGCUAAUACCGGAUACGCCCUUACGGGGAAAGAUUUAUUGCCGAAGGAACGGCCCGCGUCCGAUUAGCUAGUUGGUGAGGUAAUGGCUCACCAAGGCGACGAUCGGUAGCUGGUCUGAGAGGAUGACCAGCAUCACUGGGACUGAGACACGGCCCAGACUCCUACGGGAGGCAGCAGUGGGGAAUAUGGACAAUGGGCGCAAGCCUGAUCCAGCCAUGCCGCGUGGAUGAUGAAGGCCUUAGGGUUGUAAAGUCCGUUUUAACGGGGAAGAUAAUGACGGUACCCGUAGAAUAAGCCCCGGCUAACUUCGUGCCAGCAGCCGC